Molecule: long non-coding RNA, 147 nt
Organism: Pecten maximus
Lineage: Eukaryota; Metazoa; Mollusca; Bivalvia; Pectinida; Pectinidae
Exons: 2
Source: RefSeq, a predicted model, not a curated record
ACACGUUUUGAGUAUGAGAAGAUUCGUUCGGACUAUCGUAGGAUACGAUACGUCAAUCUAUCUACGUAGAACUAUCACUGAGUCAAUACACCUGUACUAUACUUGUAUGUAGUUGAUGUCAAAGAUAAUAAACACAGAUGAAGCCAG